Molecule: ribosomal RNA, 1383 nt
Filed under: Triticum aestivum (bread wheat)
Lineage: Eukaryota; Viridiplantae; Streptophyta; Magnoliopsida; Poales; Poaceae
Description: partial small subunit ribosomal RNA
Source: RNAcentral
AUGCCUAGCCGGGUGGGCGCUGACGACGCCGGAGUGGGGGAGAUCGUGGAGGCCAGCGGGGGCGAGCACGAGAGAGCCGUGCCUCCGGGGAGUCGUUCCGCGGCGCAGAAGACCGCGCGGUUCACCGAGCCCGUGCCUGCGCCGCGCGGGGGCGGCCCGAGCCGCCUCGACAGGUCCAUGUCGUCCGCCCCCGCGCAGGCGCUCGAGGGUCUCAAGUUCAUCAGCGAGACAGACGCCUCCAAAGGAUGGACCAGCGCCGCCGGGUUCUUCGACACUAAGGGCCUGUUCGGCAACCCUCUAGCCCCCUCAGAUCCUCAACUCCUCAGCUCAACUCCUCCGCCCAACUCCUCGUUGAAAAAACCCAGAGUUCAGAAACGUUUGGCAGCACAGCUUCGUGAUCGGGAGCACUGGCGUGGGCUGGCAGCUGAUUCGACUUUGAUCUGGCCCAGCUCGAGUGAUAAGCUGCAGCGAAUCAGUAUGAAAGAGGUCGCGUUCGCCGGCGAGCUGUUCGACACGCUGGCAAGGCGGCGGGGCAUCUCCGGGGGCAGCAUCGACAAGGCGGAGCUGCGUGAGUUCUGGGACCAAAUUUCAGACCCCAGCAUCAAGAGCCGCCUGCAGCUCUUCUUCGACAUGGUGGACAAGAACGCUGACGGGAGGAUCAGCGAGGCGGAGGUCAAACAGAUCAUCACGUUGAGCGCGUCGGCGAACCAUCUAACAAUAACCGCACAACAGUACAAGGAGUAUGUCAAGCUCAUCAUGGAGGAGUUGGACCCCCACGGCCUUGGCUACAUCGAGCUGCACAGCUUGGAGAUGCUAUUACUGAAGCCGUUAAGCGAGACGAUGACCAACGGCAGUAAAUUGCCGGAGCCCAAUUGGCACAAGCAGUUGUACCGCCGCGCCCGAUACUUCCUGAAGGACAAUUGGUGCCGCUGCUGGGUGAUGCUCCUGUGGCUCUCUAUCUGCGCGGGGCUAUUCGCUUGGAAGUUCAUGCAGUACCGCCACCACGCUGUGUUCAAGGUGAUGGGCUACUGCGUGUGUGUGGCCAAGGGUGGCGCCGAGACACUCAAGCACCCGUUCUCCAUCACAUCGGCGCCGGAGGACGACUGCGUCAGCGUCCACAUCAAGGCGCUUGGUGACUGGACCGAAGACCUCAGGGACGCCUUCCUUAAGGUUUGCCCGAAAACAGAGGGGAAGAACGAGAUUCGACAGGUAGAGUAUGACCGCGACGACGCCAAGUCCAACCCAAGAUUCCCCAAGAUACUAAUCGAUGGGCCAUAUGGUGCACCCGCGGAGGAUUACAUGCGGUACGAGGUUGUGCUUCUGGUGGGACUCGGCAUCGGUGCCACGCCCAUGAUCUCGAUCAUCAAGCAGGGCCGUCUCUAG